UACGUAGGGCGCAAGCGUUGUCCGGAAUUAUUGGGCGUAAAGAGCUCGUAGGCGGCUUGUCACGUCGGGUGUGAAAGCCCGGGGCUUAACCCCGGGUCUGCAUUCGAUACGGGCUAGCUAGAGUGUGGUAGGGGAGAUCGGAAUUCCUGGUGUAGCGGUGAAAUGCGCAGAUAUCAGGAGGAACACCGAUGGCGAAGGCAGAUCUCUGGGCCGUAACUGACGCUGAGGAGCGAAAGCAUGGGGAGCGAACAGG
Molecule: ribosomal RNA, 253 nt
Filed under: uncultured bacterium
Lineage: Bacteria
Description: partial 16S ribosomal RNA
Rfam family: Bacterial small subunit ribosomal RNA
Source: RNAcentral